UGAAGGUUUUUUUUUUUCCUACCUUAGACCGCUUAUUUAAAAGUGCUCAAAUGUCAAAAUUACUAAAUUUCAAGAUGUGGUACUUUCUUAAGAAACAAAGGAUUUCAUACCUAAAGAGCACUUAAUGCUGACUGGAUUGCUUUUCACCCCUCGUCCUUACAGCUUAUGACGCCAGCUUUUUAUUUGAGUUGUGAUGAGAUUUUGAGCAAAUGGGAACAGAGUCUCUCUCCAGGAGGAUCGUGUGACUUGGACGUGUGGCCUUAUCUACAAAAUCUAACCAGUGAUGCAAUUUCAAGAACCUCAUUUGGUAGUAGCUACCAAGAAGGAAGAAGGAUAUUCGAACUUCAGAGAGAACAGGCUGAACACAUCAUCAAGGCUUCCCAGUCGAUCUAUGUUCCUGGAUGGAGGUAAGAAAAUACAUUUUUGACUAGUAUUGAAGAAAUUUCUACCUCAUAAACUUAGUACUUCCAAUACUCUUCUUUUAUUUUUUAUUUUUUAUUUUUUUUCAUGAAGUCAUCAGUUUACACGAAUAAUUUUUUCUCACUGAAGUGAUCCAUUUCUUGCCUACAGGUUUGUGCCGACUAAGAGAAACAGAAGAAUGAAAUUUAUUGAAAAGCAAGUUCAAGCAUCUAUUAGAGAUAUUAUCAAUAGAAGGGUGAAGGCAAUGAAGGCCGGCGAAGCAAGUAAUGAUGAUUUAUUGGGCAUAUUGUUGGAAUCAAAUUUCCAAGAAAUCGAACAACAUGGUAACAAGAGUUUUGGAAUGAGCAUAGAUGACGUUGUCGAAGAAUGCAAGCUGUUCUAUUUUGCUGGACAGGAGACCACUUCUGUUUUGCUUGUCUGGACACUGGUUCUAUUGAGUACACAUUCAGACUGGCAGAUGCGUGCUAGAAAAGAAGUCUUGCAAGUAUUUGGUAGUAAAAAACCAGAUUUUGAUGGGUUAAAUCAUCUCAAAAUUGUAAGUAUUAUCCAUUAAUUAAACGUAAAAUACGAUAGAAACACCUGUGAUAGACCAUCCUCGUAGUACUUCCCCUGCUUGCAACUCUUAUGACAUAUUUGGAAAUGUGGAUUAGAUAGUAUUAGGCAGUAUUAAAUCACCUCAAAAUUGUAAGUAUUAUCCAUUAAUUAAACGUAAAAUAUGAUAGAAAUACCUGUGAUAGACCAUCUUCGUAGUACUUCCCCUGGUUGCAACUCUUAUGACAUAUUUGGAAAUGUGGAUUAGAUUGUAUUAGGCAGUAUUAAACAUUUUGUAAAGUUCUCUCUUGAAUGAUUUGUAUUACAUAUCAAAUAUAUACUCAAGAGAUCUUCAUUGCAGGUUACCAUGAUUUUAUACGAAGUCCUGAGACUAUAUCCACCACUUGCUGCUCUUGAUCGAAAUGUUCAAAAAGACACGAGAUUGGGGAAAUUAUUGCUCCCAGCUGGGACGCAGCUUACAUUACCAACAGUCUUAUUACAUCAUGACCAAGAAAUCUGGGGAGAAGAUGCAAUGGAGUUUAGACCAGAGAGAUUUAGUGAAGGAGUGUCAAAGGCACAAAAAAGACAAGGUUUAUAUUUCCCUUUUGGGUGGGGACCUCGAAUUUGUGUUGGACAAACUUUCGCCAUGAUACAGGUGAAAAUGGCAAUGGCAAUGAUUCUACAACGCUUCUCUUUUGAGCUCUCUCCAUCCUAUACGCAUGCUCCUCGCACAAUUAUAAUUCUUCAACCUGAGCACGGCGCUCACCUAAUUCUGCACAAGAUAUAGCCCGAUUAUGUAGUGUAUCAAACUUAUAAUGAAGUGUAUCAAAUUUCUUCUUCUUCUAUUUUUUUUUUCAAUAUUGUGACUGUCUAAUGCUAUCUAAUCCAUUGUAAGAUAGAUUUUAGAAUGAAAUAGUCAAGGUGGUUACAAUAAUUGCUAGGAUCCACACACGGAGCCAUGUUUUGUUUCACUCAAUUCCAGUAGGAGAUGGCUACAAGAAAUAAUGAAUUAUUCGGUGAUUCAAUAUGUUCAACCGAAUAAGAUGGGGGAAAUGAGAGUGUGUUUCUAAGCUCCCGUUUGAUUUGGAUAAAAAUUUGUUUUUAGUAGAAUUAAUGAAAGUUGAUAAAAUGUGUUGUGCAAAAGUUGAUAAAACUUGUGGAUCCUAUAAAAUGUAUGAUUGAGAAUGAAUUUGAGGAAAAACAAUUUUCAAGAAUAUGAAAUAAUUCAGAGGAUUUAUUUUGCAUAACACGUGUAUAUCUCUGUACUUUUUAUAGUGUUGCGAGACCAUCCCGUUGAAUGAAAAGAAUCCAUUCUACUAUUCCAUCCUCGCAUGUAUUGCAUGUUGGUCAUAGACAAGGGUAAUUUUUGUAGGCAAUGUCCUAUUUCCAAUUCUCAUCACCCAACCGUUCAAUUUCCCCAUUCAAAUCAGAAUAUCAGUUUCAAGAGAUUCAUUUUUGCAUUUGAAAUCAUCAAUCUUCUUGUUCAUCGUACAAAAUUAAUCAUAUUUUCAUGGAUUAUUUGGUUGUACACCGAAGAAGUUAUAUAUGUGUUGUCGAUUUUGCAUCUCGCCAGUGUACGGAUCGUAAAAAGUAAUAAUGUAGACAUAAAAGUCCGAAUAUCGUUCCCACGAGGAAUAUUAUUUAACAACUGGUUCAAUUAUUCCUAAACCUUAAUUUGAUAAAAAUAAAUAAAUAAAUAAAAAUAAAAACAAAGAAUUAGAUGUGAUUUUUGAUACAAAUUUUUGAAAAAAUAUGUGUAUGCACACAAAGAGUGAUUUGGAACAUAAAUAAUGAACCAAAUGUUGAAUUUUAGUUCCCGAACUCCAUUCUCUUUUCUUGACUUCUUUUUUUAUUUUUUUUAUUUUGUCUUCUUCCAAUACUUCAUUCUUUUGCACAAUUGAUUUUUGACUCUUUCACUUCUUCGUUUAUUCUUCCGAGUCAUCUUUCAACUAUUUGCACUUUGGUCCCUGAACUUUGGUUUUAUUUCAUUUUGGUCAUUUUUUCGCUUAUUUCUUCUAAACUCCACCAUAGUCAUCAAUUUUAUCCUAUAAAACAAAAUUUAAAUAGAAUUAAGCCAUAUUUCAACAUAUUUUCCAACAAUUAUAUGUCUAAAUAAGUAUGUAAAACGCAGUUAUCAGCCAAUACCACAGAAAGUGAAAGCAUUACUAAAUUUGCCGAAGCUUUAGAAUUAGAAAUGACUGCCAUUUUGAGAGAAGAAAUAGAAUGUGUUUGGUUUUGAUGAGUAAAAGUUGGAUUUUGGAAACCCUCUAUAUAUAGAUUUUGCACUCAUCUCUUGAAGGUGGAGUUGGGCUGGGGACUAUUCUAAGUUGGAUGAUAGGUGUGUUUUUGUACACUUAUUAGAUACUUUAACAAGCUAAUUAUUAAUUACAGCUUUUGGAGGUUAAAAUCACUCAAGGGAAUAAAACAAGGCAACAUGAAGUGAAAAGGGACCAAAAUCGUAUAAAAUUGUGAAUUUGAGGACAAAAGUGCAUACUAAAAAGUCCAAGGACUUGGGAUUGCAAUUUUGGAGGGCAUAAUUGAUAUGAAAUUAAAAAUCUAAGGACCAAACUUCACAAGAUCAAAGUUUAGGGAUCUGACGUGCAAUUAUCUGGGGGACUUAGCUACAAAAUGAAACCAAAUUCAUAUUUUUGGCAAAGAAUGGGUGUCUAGGUGUAGGUGGCACUGUAGUGGUGCCUAGCGCCUGGUUCAAAAUGCAGGAAUCGUUUUGCGGCUGCCAAGAUUUCAGGUACUCGAGCUACAAUUUUUGAAUAGCCUUUUAGGUUUUAAGUGUGAAAAUCGACGGCUGGGGAGAGGAUUCCGUAUUCUUCUUCUUUUUGUUUUCUUUCUUUUCAUUUUUACUUUUUUCUCUCUCUUUUUCUGUUUCUUUUCCUUUCAUUUUCUUCUCUUUCUCUUUCCAUUUUUCUUGGUAUUUUGAGAAUGCAAUCUGGAGCACAAGAAGAAGUAACCAAACACAUUGGAGAAAUACUUGGGAAAAUUCAAGAUCAAGCCAUUGUCAUCUUCAAGAAUCUAACAUAAAAUGGAAUUUUAUCUCUAACACCGUAUUUUCUCCAUUAUUUUGCCAAACUUGUAAUGCAUUGUUAUAAAUUUUCUCCUUUUUUUUUUUUUUUUAUAUCAUUUCUAUAAUAUGGAUUAAGCAUUUUUAUUUUGGGAUUUAUGGUUGAAGUUAACCUAGCUUUAAUUAAUUUUAAUAUUAAAAUGCUUAUUUUCGUGUGUAUUUACUAUUAUAUUUCUUGUAUUUUUAUUUAUGUGUGGUCAAUGAAUAAUUAUAUUUAGUGAAUCCUACAUCGUUCCAUAUAAGGUUGUGCAUUUUAGAUCAAAUAGUAGAAACUCUACGUUUGUGUGAGGGUAAGAGAUAUACCAUAACUCUAGGUGACUAAUUGAAUUAUUUUCACAAAGAUUUAAUGCGGUUGUUUUAUUUUUAUCGAUAUAGAGAUAUUGUAGAUUAAACCAAGUGAUUAGAGUUAAUUUCGUUUAAGAGACGUAAUAAAUUAAAAUUGGAAAAUAUGGUUUAACAUAGUAAAUUAGUAAUUUGUUAAUUAGUUUAUGGAGAAAUUAAUUAGGCGAUAGUUAAGUGAAAUCAUGAAUCCCAACAACUUUUUUCCUCUAAAAUUUGUUUCCUUUUUCUUAUUUUGUAUUUUUUAGUUCAUUUUACUCAUCUUCAAAAUUCAAGUCUUAUCCUGUGUUAGUUUUUAUUGUUAAAAUAAGAUUGAUUAAAGUUGUGUAAUCUAAAGUAAAUAUUCCUUGAGUAAUCGACAAUCUGAACUCAAAAGGUUCAAUUUAUUAGUUGAACGCGAUCUGUGCACUUGCGAUUUACACUUUCCUCACGAACAUAGUACACCAUGGACUAAAAGUUGGCAAAGAUUAAUUGAAUAAAUUGAACGGAAUAAUUUUUCCGCGUGAGGUAUAAGCCUUUAUCAUCACUGGCAUGGGUCAUUUCUGCGGGGCACUUUUAUGUCAGUGCGUGGAUCAAAUUGUACCUUAGCAGCUUAACCGUAAACUAAAAUUCAAAAUUAUUUCUGGCAUUUGAUUCCUAAAAUGUAAUUAUAAAGCAUAAUUAUCCUUUUUUUUUUUAAAUAUAAUCAUUUUGUGGGACUGAUCUUUAAUUAUUUCCAUGAGAUUUCAUGUGGCUUCUCGUCGAGAGAAUCAUAAAAUUAAAAAUAGUAGUUUUCUUAGGUAAAAAAGUAAAAAAAAAUAGCUGAUUGGUACUACCAUCACAUUGAAUAUAGUAGAAGAGUAAUUCUUAUAACAUGUUUUAUUUCUUUAAUUAUGCUCGGAAUUAUUUUUUGUAUAUAAUGUAUCUUCAUAGGAGAAUUUAAUUCAUAGUCUUGAGAUUGGUACAACUAGAUAUGUAAAACUAGACAGGAUGUCUCAUCCCCUUGCACACAAAUAACAUAGCUUGACUGGUUGAGGCUGUUGAGUUUUGAUACCCAAUAAUUUGGGCGAUGAUUUAAAAUAGAUGAUGGAUAAUUUAUCGACACCAUGGAUUUGGCUCGACUCGAAUACGAUCGACACUUUUGGAAUGCCCAAGUUGGAAUUGGAUUGGUGCUCUGAUUAGUAUGUAGUUUUGGAUUAUUAUUGGUCCAUUAACUUAACCCAUUGAGAGAGAUAUAUUUUUGGCCCAUUUAAAUAAAUAAGUUUAGUCGAAUUAUUUGUGACCUAAUACCCAUCUAUAUAUCCAUCCUCCUACAGCUGGUUUUUGUGGGGUGCGCGCACGCAAGAGAGAAGGAAAGGAGAGAAAGAAGAGCGACCAACUUGGGGGAAGAGGAGAGAGGUUUCCUACCAUUGUUGCAUCUUCUUCCUCCUCCUCUUGGUAGUAAAACCACCAUCCAUUCCUCUUUGUGGGGUUUGACAAUUCUUGGAGCAAUCAAGUUGAAGGUUAAAGGUUUGAGCUGAGCCGAGGUUAGGUAGUGUUCGUUUGAUUGUUUUCUGAACCCUAAAUCAAGAUUUCUCAAGAGAUUUCCGCGUCGCAAGCCUCAAGUUGCAACAACGGCCGAUAAAUCAUGAGAACUAGAAUGUCGCUCUUGAAAAGUGCUAUCUUAUUCUCUGUAACAUCGUCGUUUUUAUGUUUCCGUGUUUAGAAUAACCAUGUGAUUCUUUAAUCCCAUUUGUGACAAUAUAAAAUAAAUAUUUGCUUGGACACGCAUUCAAGCUUAGUUAGUAUACAAAAACUAAAAAAUUCAAGAGCUUUUGACUUAACGAUCGAUUGCAAUUGAAUUCAUUAAAUGUUUUGGAGAAUCUAGUUUAUGUGGCACCACUUGAUUUAAAAAAAUAAAAUAAAAUAAAAAGCAAGUUGUUAGAUAAUACCACAUGUAUAUUAUUAAUAUUACGUUAGAAUCUUGACACCUGCACAAUUCAUUUAAAAUGGGUGGCUGUCGAAACUUAACCUUUUUCCAUCGAACCUUAACAUGUGUGCAAUUCAUUUAAAUGAGAGGUGUCGAGACUCAAAUUCGAAUUCAAGAUCUUUGCAUAUUUUAAUAUCAAAUUCAACUCUAAAAUUUAACAAUUAAUUAGUUUGAAAUGGAUGGACCCCAAAAAGGCUAUAUUUGUAGCUUCAAAUUCCAGCUAAUAUUGAAGAAAUCACCGUCCAAUCUCCUUAAAGUAUUUGCGACAAAGUUCUAAAACCAUACAAUUUUUUUUUUUUUUUUUUUAAAUAAAUAGGGGGUNNNNNNNNNNNNACUAGAUAGGGGUGACAAUUAAUUCGGUCUUUCUAUAUGUAAAAUAAUUUUCGAAAGAAAGAGUAGUUGGAGUUGCAAUAAUCGCUAGUAUCAACGCACGGAGCCUUCAUGUGUUUCAUCCAAUAGGAGAGGUGUUGAUUAAUCGACCUCCAAUUGGUGGAAUUUUGGGUUUAGGAUACCAAUUUCAACCUUAUCAAUACACCCAAACAGUCACGGUCAAUCUUAAACUUCUCCUGCACUCCAGUUGCUCAAGAUUUGUACCCACUUAGAACACAAAGGAAAGGUGUUUGUAGCCACAAAGGAGGUACCACAAAGGUUGGAGAAGAAACCGACCAAGCAAGGACACAAAGCAAAAGGCAAGGACUUUUUCUCUCUUCAACACAAAGGCAAACACAGGUGAAUUAUAGAAGACCAAGGAGGCUAGCAUAUAUAGGUUAGGUUAGGUCAAAGUGAUGGAACCAAGCCCAAUACAAAUACCCUUAGUGGACCAACAUAAAUAAGCUAUCCAGUGAGUGUAGAAAUCGGGUCAUGACUAACACAAAUUAAUUAGGUUGCUUUCAAUGGCUCAAAUAGUUUUAGGGUCGGGUCAUCAAUCUUUAGUGUCGAUAAUUAAUUUAUCCAACAUCAAUUUAACAUCAUCGCCCGAAUUAUUGGGUAUCUGUUGACGAUUUUAUCCCACAAGUGGACGGAUUGUAAUAAGUAGUAAAGUGAAUCUUUUGAGUCCGGAUUAUCGUUCCCACGAGAACUAUACUUUAGUACUCAAUUUAUUAUUCCUAACUCCUACUUGAUGAAUAUAAAUAAAAAAAAAUAUAUUUGAUUGACUGUGAUUUUUAAAUCUAACUACUAAAAAUUUCGGGAAUAUAAUAGAAAAUUAGUGAGAAUUCAAUUACUAAAUGGAGAUUAGGGCAGAAUAACUUCACAUAUUGGUCUCUUUUAUUUCUAAUAUUGAGAUUCAUAAAACUAAAACAGUGUUCGGUCAAAUUCUUUUAUUGUAUUCAACUUACCUCUCUCGAGUUCUCGUUGAGCCUAUUUAAUUAGUUCAAUUCAUCUCUCUAUACAAAUUAAAUUUAAUUAAACAAAAUAACAAUUCUAAGAAUUUCUAUAGGACCACAGCAAUUAAUAUAGGUAUCUCUACACAUUAUAUUAAUUUAUCGAAUUUUAAUAUGUAAUCUAAAUAAGAAUCUGCAUCUCUACGUAAUUAUUGUUCACAAAAUUAUUGAAUAAUUGGCCAGAGAAAUUCAAAGCAUAAAAAACAUAAUUAAAAUUCACACAUAAAAUAUAAAAUAACAAGAAUCUCAAAUAAAAGAAAUAAGGGUCCCAAAUAGAUUACAUUGUUCGUCCUAAAAUUAAAUUUAGCUGCGCAUAUUGAUGAAAAAAAACAAGAAAUUAUGGAGGACAUCACCAGAUUAAUUGACUGAACGUGAAUUUGCAGUUGGUUUCUGCGUGUCUUCCCUCCAACGGCUUCCUUCUAUAUUUCUCUCUGUCUGCGUCAACCUCUUCUUUUCACAGAAAGUGUUGAUUACCUCAAUUACUCUAUGCAUGUACGUAUGAAUCUCUCCAAUAGUAAUUAAGUAGCCACCAAGUUUUGCAUGAAAAUAUAUCAAAUUGGCUCCUCAAAUUCCGUGCGUAGAGAUGAUGAUGGCAACCCCUCUCCUUUUGCGUGAAUGUCUAUAUAUCCCACUUUAUAGCCACCAAAUUUGACUCUAAUUCAAACCUUUUAAUGUGAUAUUACCCAUCAAGUCCUCAGUCUUUCAAUAUAAUGCAAUUCAAUCCUUGAAUCCUUUUAUUCUUGCAACACAUGUCUUCUUUGAUUCAAUUGAAGUCCUUCACUUUUCCAAAUAUGAAAUUUGAUCUCCAAAUUCUUCAAUCUUCGAUUCAUGGUCCGGAUCAGCUAUUGAAUUAUUACAACUUGGUCCCCAAACUUUUGCAUUUCGCUCUUUUUUGCUUCAUUCCUUCAAUUCCCUUUUCAUUAAUAGAAUUUACCUAUUAAAAAUAAGAAACAACAAUUUAGGAUAUAAUUUGUCAAAAGAAACAUCAAAUAUCUUUAUUUUAAGGUACCGAAUAAGUGUAUAAAAUACACUUAUCAAAUACCUCCAAACUUAAAUAUUUGUUUGUCUUCAAAUAAAACUAUAAACUAAAUAAUGAUAGACACACAAAUAUGCAAAAAUAUUCGGUUGGACAAUCUAGCUUUUUACCUCAGGAUUCAAGAUUUAGUGUUUACUCUAUAAACAUAAUUCAAAGUCACAGUACCAAACUAAUAUCCACUCUUCCAAUACAAAAAUUAACGUGUGUGUUUAAAGAAUCGAGUAAUCAACCAUGACUUCACAAGUUGUUUCAAUCCCCGACCCUUAAUGGUCAUAUGUGUCCUUUCAUCACUCGUAAGAUUCACACACCUCCAAACUUAUUUUUUUUUCACUCUUUCCCAGUGUGUAAUAUAAGGCUGAAUAUUUCAUUACUAUUCUUACCCUCUCGAGUUUAGGUGGACGUUACUAGUUGCAAGUCAACACUUCAGUGAAUAGGAAUUCUCCAAUUAUUUGAUUGCUUCGACCUCCAAGACUCAACUAACUAAUUAUGUUGCAUCAAAAGUCAAGUUCCUUCAAAUAAGUGUUAGGGCUUAACCAAAGUAUUGAGUGCUUUUGCUCUUUUCAUGCACUUGCUUUUCCUAUUUUUCACAAGUUUUUUUUUUAAUAUUCUCUCCAUUAAGCUUUCUAGAUGACCCUUAUAGCAGGCUUUAGGCCGAUGACUCCCAAAUCAGAUGAUUUUAGGGCAUCAGGUUUUUAAAUACCUUUACAGGCUUACUGACCCGAGUCAAAAAGGCUUUGAAGAGAACAAUUUUUUUUUCAAGUGCAACUUCGUCUCUAAUUGAUUUCUAAAUGACCCUUGUAACGAGCUUUAGAACGAUGGCUUCCAAAUUAGAUGACUUUAGGGCACCAGGUUUUAAGAUACCAUUACAUGCUUAAUCACUUGAGUCAUAAAGAUUUCAGAGAGAAGUUUAAAAUUUUCAAAUGUAUAUGCCUUGAUUAGUGCAAUGCCCCUUAUCACACACUUAUUCAAACAAACCGACCUCUAACUUAAGGCUUCCGUCGAGUUUUAUCAUAUUAGUCUAAGACAAUCCACACCUAAGUUUUCACACAUGGAAUCCACAUUCACAUCCACAUCUUCCUACAACUGUAAAGUAACCCCCAAACUGUGCUCAAUUUGGUCUAAGGAUAAAUAAUUUAAUAUGGCUCAGGUAAAGCAUCUAUGUCCCAUUAGAUCAACCUAUCAAAAAUAAGAAACAACUCAUUUAAUCACAAUGUUAAACUUAAUUCUAGUGCGCUUGUAGUAUCAAAUUUUGCAAGGUUGAGCUUCAAUUAGUCUAGUAUGUAUCCUAUCCACAGUUCAUAAAUUAACACCAAAACUCAAAUUAAAUCAUCAUUGUUUGCAAGACUGUUUAACCCACACAAGCACAGAACUAAAUAAUUUUUUUUUUCGAUUUUUUUCUUUUUUUUUUUUUUAAAAAAACACACAAAAACAUAAAAACAAAAACAAAAUGUUUUUUCACCCCCAAGCAUUAAAACUGACAUUGUCCUCAAUGUCAUAAAACAUAAAUAAGCACAUAAAGGGGGUAGAGAAGAAAAAGAAGAAGGUACUCCCCAAAUUUUUUUGUUGAAUGUGUGAGGCAAUAUGUGAGACGACUGGAUAAUAUUCUUCAUCGUGCUUUCCCUUGGAUCUAUGUUGGUUUGAGUGUUCCACGUCCUCAUGUUCUUGAAAAAUCAAAUUUGACAAAUUAAAGAGAAGGAACAAGGGUUACUUAACUCAAACAAUCAAAAUAACUAAAAGUAAAUUCAAGGCCUUGAGGGCGGAAGGGAUAUGGGUGAUGACUCCUAAAAAUUGAAACAUGCCAAAUCUAAUGCAAUCUAGUAAACAAAACAAAACUAUAUGCUAUGCGAUACGAAAAAUAAAAUAAAAAGUUUGAAAAUUGGGUUGCCUCCCAAUAAGCGCUUCUUUUAAGUCAUUAGUUGGACUUUGUGUUGCUCUUAUUCUGGUACAGCUAGGUCAAGCCUCUCUUUAGCGAUGGGAAAAUCUUCCACGUAGUGCUUGAUACAUUGGCCAUUUACUUUAAAGUUUCCUUUUGUUGGAUGGUGUAAUUUAACUGUGCUGUAGGGAAACACCUGAGAGAUUGUGAAAGGGCUGGACCAUCUAGAUUUCAACUUUCCAGGAAACAGUUUAAGUCUGGAAUUGUAUAAAAGCACUUGAUCUCCCACUCUAAAAAUUCUUUACCUAAUGUUCUUGUCAUGCCACUGCUUCGUCCUUUCCUUGUAGAUGGCUGCAUUCUCAUAUGCUUCUCUUCUGAAUUCUUCCAAUUCAUGUAGCUGCAGUAUUCUUGUUUCUCUAGCCUUUUCGAAGUCCAUGUUUAAUUGCUUCAAUGCCUAAUAUGCUCCAUGUUCAAACUCCACUGGUAGGUGGCAUGCUUUUCCAAAGACUAGUUGAUAUGGGGACAUCCCAAUAGGUGUCUUGUAUGUAGUGCGAUAUGCUCAUAAAACAUCAUCUAAUUUCUUUGACCAAUCCUUGCGAGAUGCAUUCACAGUGAGCUCCAAAAUUCUUUUCAAUUGUCUGUUCGAGGUUUCUACUUGUCUGAGGGUGGUAAGGAGUGGCAAUUCGAUGAUGUACCCCGUACUUAUGCAGCACUGCUUGAUGAUGGAAAGGGACCCAUAAAAUCAACCCCCCAGACAUCAAAUAUUUCGACCUCCGAAAUGUUGUUAAGUGGCAUCUCGUGAUGCGCUAAUAUGUUACCUGUUCUUUGACAUUUAUCACAUGAUCGGUAGAAACUGUGGCAAUCCUUAAAUAAUGUAGGUCAAAAGAAACCACAUUGAAGCACCUUUGCUGCUGUUUUAGUGGGACCAAAGUGUCCUCCAUAAGCGAAAGCAUGAACUCGUGAAAGGAUAGGUUUCAUCUCAUCCUCUGGCACACAUCUCCUAAUGAUCUGAUCUGCCCCUCUUCUGUAUAAAUUUGGAUCAUCCCAAUAAUAAAAUUUCGCUUCAUGAAUCAACUUCUUCUUCUACUGAUAGGUGAGAUCAGGAUCCAUAUAGCCAUUAGCUAAGUAAUUAACAAUGUCUGCAUACCAUGGAGCCUUUUCUAUCUGCAUUAACUGCUCAUCUGGGAAGACCUUAUUAAUAUCCACAUCAUUUGAAUUACGGAGUUUCUCUAGCCUCGAUAAAUGAUCCGUUACCUGAUUUUCUGUACCCUUUUUGUCGUGAAUUUCAAUGUCAAACUCUUGCAGUAACAGAACCCAUCGAAUCAGCCUAGGUUUAGCAUCCUUCUUCUCAAACAGAUAUUUCAAUGUUGCAUGGUCAAUGUAGACUAUUACCUUUGAACCAAUCAGAUAGGAACGAAAUUUGUCGAAGGUAAAGACCACUACUAGCAUCUCUUUUUCCAUUGUUGUGUAAUUGAUUUGAGCAUCUGUCAAGGUUUUGCUGGCAUAGUAGAUUAUAUGUAACACUUUGCCUUUACGUUGGCCAAGCACCGCUCCCAUUGCAAAAUCACUAGCAUCACACAUAAGUUCGAAAGGUAGAUCCCAAUCAGGUGCUACUAUUAUAGGUGCAGAAGUUAACUUUUCUUUCAAAGUGUUAAAUGCAUUUAAGCACUCAUCAGAAAAGUGAAAUGACACAUCCUUCUCCAAUAGAUUACACAGAGGUUUUGUAAUUUUUGAGAAAUCUUGAAUGAACCUUCUGUAAAACCCUGCAUGUCCUAAGAAACUUCUGAUCUCCUUAACUGUAUUAGAAGGCUGCAAUUUUUCAAUUACUUGUAUUUUGGCUUUGUCAACUUCAAUGCCCUUUGAGGAAAUCCUGUGGUCCAGUACUAUCCCCUAUUUUAUCAUGAAACGACAUUUUUCCCAAUUUAGUACUAGGUUCUUCUCUUCACAUCUUUGCAAUACAAGAGUCAACCGAUCUAAGCAACCAUCAAAUGAAUCUCCAAACACAGAAAAAUCAUCCAUGAAUACCUCGAUAUAUUUUUCCACCAUGUCAGAGAAUAUGGCCAUCAUGCACUGUUGAAAGGUUGCGGGUGCAUUGCAUAAACCAAAAGGCAUCCUUCUAAACGCAAAAGUUCUAUAGGGACAUGUAAAGGUUGUUUUCUCCUGGUCUUCUGGAGCAAUAACUAUCUGAUUGUACCCAAAAUAUCCGUCCAGAAAGUAGUAAUGAGAAUGACCGGCCAACCUCUCCAACAUCUGAUCAAUGAAUGACAAUGGAAAAUGAUCCUUUCUGGUUGCAUUGUUUAGCUUUCUAUAAUCUAUACAUACUCUCCACCCUGUCACUAACCGUGUUGGUAUCAACUCGUUGUUCUCAUUCUUCUCCACUGUGAUUCCACCCUUUUUUGGCACAACAUGCACUGGGCUCACCCAUGAAUUUCAGAGAUUGGAUAGAUAAUACCUGCAUCCAACAAUUUCAGCACUUCUUUCAAGGUUGGAUUUAAUCUACGUUGUCCUUCCCCUGAUGGCUUUGACCCUUCCUCCAUUAAAAUCUUGUACAUACAAAAAGUUGGACUUAUUCCUCUAAUGUCAACUAUUGUCCAUCCAAUUGCUGUUUUGUAUUGCUUGAGUACCUCUAACAAUUUAUUCUCCUCUUCCAUUGUCAUGUCAUUUGCAAUGAUUAUUGGAAGUGUUGUAGAUUCUCCCAAAUAAGCAUAACGGAGAUGUGAAGGCAAAGGCUUUAGUUCAAGAAUGGGUGCCUUUUCUAUUGAAGGUACUGGGGAUGAAGGGUUGUCACUAAAAGAUUCAUACUGCCAAUGUCUUCAUCCUAUUGGUUGCUUAGCCAAGUUGAAGACACGUUCAAUUUUUUCUGCACUUGUUGCUCCCGAUUGUGCAAUUUUUGCUUCACAAAGAACUGUUUGAUGCUCUGUCUCAAAUGUGUCUACCACCAACUCUUCAAGAACAUUUACUUGACAACAGGUGUCUGAAGUCAAUGGAUGUUUCAUUGCUUUGAAUAUGUUGAAUAUGACUUGCUCAUUGUCCACUUGAAGAAUCACCUUUCCAUCGUAAACAUCAAUUAGCGCUCUUCCGGUAGCCAAGAAGGGUCUUCCCAAGAUUAGAGGGAUGUUUGAAUCCUCCUUCAUGUCCAAUACGAUGAAAUCAGCCGAAAAAAUGAAUUUAUCAACUUUGACUAGCAUAUCUUCAAUAAUCCCCUUCGGUCGUUUGAUUGAUCUGUCAGCCAGUUGCAAUGAGAUUGUUGUAGGUUUUGCCUCUCUCAAUCUAAGAGACCUGUAAAUAGAGAGAGGCAUUAAAUUAACACUGGCAUCUAAAUCGCAUAAAGAAUGCUCAAAAUAAUUAGAACCAAUUGUGUAAGGUAUCGUGAAACUCCCUGGGUCUUUUAGUUUAGGAGGUAGCUUUUUCAAUAGAAUUGCAUUGCAUUCCUUGUUCAGGCAGACUGUCUCAUGUUCUUCUAGCUUUCUUUUGUUAGACAGGAUCUCCUUCUAAAAUUUAGCAUAGCUGGGCAUUUAGGCAAUUGCAUCUGCAAAUGGAAUAUUGAUCUGCAGUUUCUUGAAAAUCUCCACAAACUUGGCAAACUGUUUGUCCAAUUUCUUUCUCUAUAGCCUCUGAGGGAAGGGAAUUGGUGGCACAUAAGCUUUUACGGGGCUGGGUGCUCUCACUAUGGGUGUUUCUUUCGUUUUAUCAUCCUCGUUAGUUGGUUGUUCAGACUCUGCUUUUGUCCCAGCCUCUUCACCCAUUACUUCUUUGUCUUUUCUGUCUGGUCUCUUCACAUGUAUCUCUGGAAGUUGCACUCCAUUUCUAGUCAUAAUAGCUUGCACUUGCUCUUUUGGAUUGACCAUUGUACUGUCUGGCCAUGUCCCUUGUGGGCGUUCUGCAAGCUGUUGAGCAAUCUGACCAAUUUGAAUUCCUAACUUCUUAAUGGAUGCUUGCUGAUUCUAAAAGUUAGUGUCAAUCUCUUGGAAUACCUUGUCUGUCUUCUGCAUGUACUGGUUGAACAUCUCCCCCAAACUUGGUUUUUUCUCCUGUUGUGCAUUGUUUGAACUGCUCCCUUGCUGAUUAUCCGACCAUAUGAAGUUUGGGUGUUGUCUCCAUCAUGGGUUAGAUGUUUGUGAAAAUGGAUUAAAAUUUUGAGAAUCAUUUUGAAUGAAGUUGACUUGUUCGUCCGAAAAGCCCAUAGAUGUGCAAUUUUUUGUUAGGUGAUUUGCCCCGCAGUUUUCGCAAGAUGGGCCAGUUAUCACUGCAUGUGCUCCUUUUGUUUGUGACUUCACCAAUAACUCUACUUGUUUUGUCAAAGCUCCUAUUUGGCCAUUGGUAGAUGCUGUACUGUCUAAUUCAUAUAUUCCCGCUGCUUUUGGAGGCACCACUCUUUCUGAUGAAAACAUGAAUGAAUAGUAGCAAUCAACUCAAAUAGAUCCAUACAUUGCUGAACUGAUUUUCCUAUGAUCGAUCCACCUGCAGAGGAAUCCAUUUGAGAUUUGGACAGUGGUAAAAGUCCCGUGUAGAAAUACUGCACUUGAUUUCCAAUAGUGAUCCCAUGAAUUGGACACUUCCUCAUCAACUUAUUAAAUCUGUUCCAUGCUUCGUGAUAGCUCUCCCCAUCUCUCAGUUGAAAAGUUUGAAUUUUCAGUCUAAUUUUUGCUACCUUAGCUGGUGGAAAGAACUUAUUGCAUAAUUUUCUAGUCAGUUCCUCCCAUGUGGUAAUACUUCCAUUCGGUUCGGCAUCCAGCCAUUCCAAUAUUGCAUCUCUCAGUGUAUAUGGGAAUAAUCGCAGCUUGAUGGCAUCCUCCUUAACCCCAGGAGAAUGACAAUUCUGGCAAUUCCUGAGAAACCUUGAGAUAUGUGUGUUUGAAUUUUCAUGAGGUAACCCGUAGAAUUGCAUAGUGUUGCUCAUAAAAUAAAUCCAAUCAACCCAUAUCUGGAAGUUGUUUACCCCAAAAUCUGGAUAUACUAUGCAGGACCACGUGGGUGCUGCUAUAGGUGUCAAAAACAUAGAAAUUGGCAAGUCCCCUUCAUUUACUUCCCUUUGCUCUUGCUGUUGACCUCUCGCGGCCAUUUGUCCGAUUGGAUGUAUAGAGUUAGGAUUGUUUAGAUUAUCAGCCAUUUGAUGUUGCUGUUUUUGUUUGUGUUCCCUGCGUCUUCGUCUGAAGGUACGUUCUAUUUCCGAAUCAAACGAUUCAAGAUCAUCACCUUGGGUACGGAGAUACAAUGAACACAGUUUUCUGUAAAUAAAAGAAAAUAAGCAAAUCAAAUAAUAAUUAAAAAUAAGAUAGAAAAAUAAAUUAAAUUAAAUUAAAUUAAAACUAAAAAUAAUAGUCCCCGGCAACGGCGCCAAAAACUUGUUGUCGAUUUUAUCCGCAAGUGGACGGAUCGUAACAAGUAGUAAAGUGGAUCUUUUGAGUCCGAAUUAUCGUUCCCACGAGAACUAUACUUUAGUACUCAAUUUAUUAUUCAUAACUCCUAUUUGAUGAAUAUAACUAAAAAAAUAUAUAUUUGAUUGACUAUUAUUUUUAAAUCUAACUACUAAAAAUCUCGGGAAUACAACAGAAAAUUAGUGAGAAUUCAAAUAAUAAAUGGAGAUUAGGGCAGAACAACUUCACCUAUUGGUCACCUUUAUUUCUAAUAUUGAGAUUCAUAAAAUUAAAAUAGUGUUCGAUCAAAUUCUUUUAUUGUAUUUAACUUACCCCUCUCGAGUUCUGGUUGAGCUUAUUUAAAUUAGUUCAAUUCCAUAUUUCUAUGCAAAUUAAAUUUAAUUAAAUGAAAUAACACUUCUAAGAAUUGCUAUAGGAUCGCAGCAAUUAAUGUAGGUAUCUCUACACGUUAUAUUAAUUUAUCGAAUUUUAAUAUGUGGUCUAAACAAGAAUCCGCAUCUCUACAUAAUUAUUGUUCACAAAAUUAUUGAAUAAUUGGCCAGAGAAAUUCAAAGGAUAAAAAACAUAAUUAAAAUCCACACAUAAAAUAUAAAAUAACAAGAAUCUCAAAUAAAAGAAAUAAGGGUCUCAAAUAGAUUACAUUGUUCGCCCUAAAAUUAAAUUUAGCUACGCAUAUUGAUGAAAGAAAAACAAAAAAUUAUGGAGGAUAUCACCAGAUUAAUUGACUGAAUAUGAAUUUGCAGUUGGUUUCUGCGUGUCUUCCCUCCAACAGCUUCCUUCUAUUUUUCUCUCUGUCUACGUCAACCUCCUCUUUUUACACAAAGUGUUGAUUGCCUCAAUUACUCUAUGCAUGUAUGUAUGAAUCUCUUCAAUAGUAAUUAAGUAGCCACCAAGUUUUGCAUGAAAAUAUAUCAAAUUGGCUCCUCAAAUUCCGUGCGUAGAGAUGAUGAUGGCAACCCCUCCUUUUUUUUCUCUCUCCUUCUGUCCAUCGCAGAAAUUCCCCCUCUACUCUCUUCUAGGUUUUCACGUGUAUAUAUAUAUAAAAUUCCCUAGUAGGCACACUUUUUUGAAUAUAAAAGGGACCCCCUCUCCUCUUGCGUGAGUCUAUAUAUCCCACUUUAUAGCCACCAAGUUUGACUCUAAUUCAAACCUUUUAACGUGAUAUUACCCAUCAAGACCUCAUUCUUUCAAUAAAAUACAAUUUAAUCCUUGAAUCCUUUUAUUCUUGCAACACAUGUCUUCUUUGAUUCAAUUGAAGUCCUUCACUUUUCAAAAUAUGAAAUUUGAUCUCCAAAUUCUUCGAUCUUCGAUUCAUGGUCCGGAUCAACUAUUGAAUUAUUACAACUUGGUCCCCAAACUUUUGUAUUUCGCUCUUUUUUGCUUCAUUCUUUCAAUUCCCUUUUCAUUAAUAGAAUUUACCUAUUAAAAAUAAGAAACAACAAUUUAGGAUAUAAUUUGUCCAACGAAACAUCAAAUAUCUUUAUUUUAAGGUACCGAAUAAGUGUAUAAAAUACACUUAUCAGUAUCAAAACCCAACAAGAGGCAACAAGAAAUAAUGAAUGAUGAUUCAGCACUUCAAUAUAUUCAAUAGAAUAAAGAAGGGAAAAAUGAGAUUAUAUAUUUCUUUUUCAUAACACAACAUGCAUAUAUCUCUAAACUUUGUAAAAUGUUGCGAGACUGUCCCCAUUGAAUGAAAUGAGUCCAUUGUUCUAUUAUAUCCUCAUAUGUCUUGGAUGUUUGUUAUAGAAAAGGGUAAUUUUAGUGGCCGAUGUCCUAUUUCAAUUCAUUCAAAUCAGAAUGUCAGUUUCAAGAGGCAUUUUUGCAUUUGAAAUCAUCAAUCUUGCUGUUCAUCGCAUAAAAUUAGUUGUACUUUUGUGGAUUAUUUGGUUGUUUAUUGAAGAUCUAUUGAGUAUAUUGAUAUGUUGGCAAGAACAAACUAAUUGUUUGACAUUUGAAAAUGUUACAAAAGGUAUGACAUAAAAGAGUGAUAAUCCAGCCUUGAGUUGAUUAGGAUUUCUGAAAAUACACAUGUAAGGGUAAUAUUUGCAAACCUUGAGAAGAGUAUAGUAGAUGAUGGUGGCAAAAAGGGCUGCGUUGACUUAAGUCAGAAUUUAACUUAAGCCUCUCACAAUUGGGACCACGAUUUAACUAGAGUCUUUCAUGCUACAAUGUCUUAGAUUCAAAUCAUGGAAAAUGUGAUAAACAAUCAUAAGGUGUAAGAGGAAUUUAUGCUCUUUUAACACCAUUGCAUCAUACGUACUGUUCUCUUUGGGUGAGGCCAAGUCAAUCUUACCCUUCUUGGAUUUCUAUUGUGACCCUCUAAAAUUCAAAUGCAAGACCUUUGUCUUGUGAGAAACUUAGUUGAAUCCUAAUACCAGAAUUUGGAGGAAUCAAUGGAUUUAGAAGCACAAAGAUCCAACAUUUGAUGCCUUAUGAGUGACCUAAUUCGAAAUUUGGGACUAGGAUUUAGAGGAAUCGAUGGAUUUUGAAGCAAAGCGAUCCAAUGUUUGAUCCAAAUACACAGAUAUUGCCAUGGACAUUAAAAUUCUGCUUUCACACACAUACACGCAUAGAGAGAAAGAGAGAUGAGAGGAAAUUUCCAGCAGUUUCAAAAAUCAAAAGUUCUCCUACGAGCUUCAUAUAUAUUAUAAAUUUUGAAUCCCUAUUUCAAGAACAUAAGGUUAAUCAUAUAUGCAUUGUUGUAACAAGAGAUCAAGUUCUACAUUUAUUUUGAUUAUGCAUUUGCUUUUAAUGUAAAACUCUAAGCAAGAAUAAAAUAUGAUAUUCUCGAACCAUAUGUUGAGAUAGGAAAGGUCCUAAUUGAAAAUGAGAUGGACUAAGCAUGUAGUACUAUAGAACUUAAAAUACGUGUAUAAGAGAUCGUGAAGGAGUAUGCAUUUUAGCUCAAUUACAAUAAAAAAAAAAAAAGGAAAAACUGAAAAGUUAUUGAAUCGUUUUGUGGUUAUGAAACUUGUUGCAUUUUAUUUUGUUGAUUUUCCAACUCACAUGUUAUUUUCCGAACAUAAAUUUCAAGUAUUUAAUGGAUUGAUGUUCGUGGCGUCAUGUGGAGGAUUGAUGUAAAAUUUUAAUCAUCAUAUGUUUCCGUAGAAAAUGACUCCCAGUGAACUUGUGGUUAGUAGCAACUAGCCACUAGGCCACUAGGAUGCAAUGAAACCUCACAUUUAAUUAAAAUUUUAAUUUAAGUCAAAGUCAACAAGUAAGUUUUAUUAUAUAUAUCAUGGAAUCUAUAACUUUUCAACUACACUUUUCAUUUUUUUAAAAUCAAAAUUUAGUAAAAAUUUGAUUUAAAUUUCCUUCAAAGAAGGGAUUAAUUUCAACUUUCAGGCUAUUGAGGAAAUUGCGAGAUAGUGACAUAAGGAGCUUCAUGAAUAUCAAAACUAAUUAGCUCAUCAAAUCGAGAGAUGAGUCGGCACUCCAAACUGAAAGGUUGGUACAUAGUUUUUUCAGAUUUAACUUCAUAGGUUCGCAAUUUUUCAAAACAUUCACUUAGGUCCACGCCAUUACCCAAAAAAAAAAAAAAGAAACAAAAUAAAAGAUGAUAUUUCAUCAACAGAGGAUUAACACUGAUUUUUACAUUGCCAAAUGCGUGCUGAUUAAGUUGAUUUCAUGCGUCAGAGCUUGUGUCAUCUCUUUCGGGUGUGUAUAUACUAAUAAUUAAAAUGACAAAAACCAUAGACCUUCUGAGUGUCCUAUCUAUUUUUUUGCCCUAUUAUUCAUAAAAUUAUCUUCUCGCACACAUUACUUCACAACACAUUACACAGAUAAUCUUCUAGAAGAUAAUGAAUAAUUUAUGUUCAUGUAAAUUUCCCUUUUCUUUCUUCAAACAUAAAUGUUUGACCCCAUUUUUCAUGAGAAAAAAUGAGUUUUGUGAUAGUGAGAGAAUGCUUGGUUAAAAAAUAGGAAAAAAUUUUGAUUUUUCGUGUAAAAUUAUUUUAUUGAAAGAAUGUGGAUUGCAAAUAAAUUUGAGAAAAAAACAAUUUUUUUGAAAAUGGAACACAAAUAGGGGCAUUUUAAGAAAUUCCUCUCUCUCUCUCACACACACACAUAAAGGGGUACUAGAGGGAGAGACUAUGCUUUCUUUUUUUUUUUUUUUUUUUUUUUUUUUUUUUUUAUAAAAAUUUUUUUCCCCCUAAAAUCAUGUGUUUUUUUUUAAAAAGCGUAGAAGGUCCAUUCCCAUGGCUUUCGAAGUGUCCUAACUGCAUCUAAUAAAGAGUUUAAAAAAAGCAACAUAUAAAAGUUUUAGCUACUUCUUUUAAUAAGGUUUAUUUUCUAAAAUGGAACCCCAAGUUUCAGUAGAAUAUCACAGUCUAUGAAGUUUCAACGAACAAUUUGAUCCGAUUGGGACUCAAACGACCAAACAAAUUCCAAGAUUAACCUACUUAAACAUGUCAACAUCUUACAAGGCAUGUCCAGGGAUAAAACCUACAUUGAGUACUUGUUUGAGGGGCAUUAUUUUCUCAUUUUCAGAAGAAAUCCAACCUUUAUUGGACCCCAACUAGACUUAUUUUUGACUUGCAUUUCACCAAGUCUUGAAAGAUUGUGCACCAACAGUCAAAAAAAGCCAUUUUUAUUAGGAAAUAAUGCCCCUCAAUCAGAGACUGAAUAAAUAUAAAAAUAAUAAACAACUUGUAUAGACUUGGAUUACUCUGAUCAUAAUAAAAUUGUUUUAAGAAUAAUUUCAAGUCUCAAUAUCCUAUUUUUUGUGGAGUUAUCUUCUUCGACUAAGCACCUCGCAAUAUAUUAAACAAACAAUCUUCUAGAAGUCAACAAACAAUAGUCGUACUAAUCCAGAAGAUAACAAAUAAUUUGAAAAGAAAACAAAGAAAAAUCCAUUGGAAGAAAUCCUCUUAUAUAUAGAGGGAGAUUUAGGGCAGCAAUCGUAUGCGUGAACAUGGAGAUUAUAUACUACAUAAUUGGUGUGUGCUGUGCUUUUGUGUUACUGAUAUACACAUGGAGGGUGCUGAAUUGGGUUUGGUUUAAGCCCAAGAAGAUGGAAAAAAGUCUGAGACAGCAAGGUCUUAAUGGAAACUCGUAUCGAUUCCUUUAUGGUGAUCUGAAAGAUAUGAUAAGUAUGAUCCAAAAGGCCAAAUCGAAGCCAAUCAAUAUCUCAGAUGAUAUCAAGCCAAGAGUAAUACCCUUAUUCAUCAAAACACUUCAGGAAUAUGGUAUGGCUUAUCUGGACUGUUCAAAUUUUCUUGUUUAAUACUGUCUCAUAGAGUCUAAUCCGCCUUACUGAAAGUGCCGUAACUUCCAGGUACUGAUUCCUUUAUAUGGCUUGGGCCGAAACCAUCAGUUAUAAUCACGGACACAGAACUCGCAAAGGAGGUCCUAACUAAGAUAUAUAUCUACCAGAAGCCAAAAAGCAUGAAUCCAUUGACCAAGCUGCUCGCACAAGGUGUAGUGAGCUAUGAAGAAGAAAAAUGGGCGAAACACAGAAAAAUCAUCAACCCUGCUUUCCAUCUUGAGAAGUUGAAGGUUUUUUUUCCUACCUUAGACCGCUUAUUUAAAAGUGCUCAAAUGUCAAAAUUACUAAAUUUCAAGAUGUGGUACUUUCUUAAGAAACAAAGGAUUUCAUACCUAAAGAGCACUUAAUGCUGACUGGAUUGCUUUUCACCCCUCCUCCUUACAGCUUAUGAUGCCAGCUUUUUAUUUGAGUUGUGAUGAGAUUUUGGGCAAAUGGGAACAGAGUCUCUCUCCAGGAGGAUCGUGUGACUUGGACGUGUGGCCUUAUCUACAAAAUCUAACCAGUGAUGCAAUUUCAAGAACCUCAUUUGGUAGUAGCUACCAAGAAGGAAGAAGGAUAUUCGAACUUCAGAGAGAACAGGCUGAACACAUCAUCAAGGCUUCCCAGUCGAUCUAUGUUCCUGGAUGGAGGUAAGAAAAUACAUUUUUGACUAGUAUUGAAGAAA
This 21913-nucleotide long non-coding RNA is filed under the name Olea europaea (common olive). RNAcentral describes it as "long non-coding RNA (OEUR_LNC001976)". The record is from RNAcentral. Lineage: Eukaryota; Viridiplantae; Streptophyta; Magnoliopsida; Lamiales; Oleaceae.